CUAGAGAGUGAGUGUCAGUGUAGUGCUGAGGCACAAUGACCUGUCUAUAACACAAGGCUCAGGGACUAUUAAUGAAGAGGGGGCAGAAUGAUUGCAAGAGCUGGAGGUUGGGGAGGGCUGCAUUGAAACUGUGUCUUUUGGACACCACAGGACUCUUGCCCUCAUGAACUUACAGCAACUGUGGUUGCUUGCACAAGACCUGUAUAAAAUCAAGCUUGUCAACAUUCUAGAAUGGUGGGGGAAAGUUCAUAAACGCCCACAGUGAACUGAGGAGCUGUGGACAGCUGAUGGCUCUAGGAAAGAGACCACUGGAAGAGACCAAGUGGCUGAGUUCAGGCUGUCGUUCAGACUGACCCCAAUGCUUCAUCUUGAAAUUCUCAUGUUGUGGUGAUUGCUUCAAGCACUUUAAUGAACACGGCAUAGUGGGGAGCAGAUGAAAUCCUAGUGAAUGUGUAC
RNAcentral lists this long non-coding RNA (456 nucleotides) under Cricetulus griseus (Chinese hamster). RNAcentral's name for it is "lncRNA (ENSCGRG00015041871.1)". Lineage: Eukaryota; Metazoa; Chordata; Mammalia; Rodentia; Cricetidae. The record is from RNAcentral.